UACGGAGGGGGCUAGCGUUGUUCGGAAUUACUGGGCGUAAAGCGCACGUAGGCGGCUUUGUAAGUUAGAGGUGAAAGCCCGGGGCUCAACUCCGGAAUUGCCUUUAAGACUGCAUCGCUAGAAUUGUGGAGAGGUAAGUGGAAUUCCGAGUGUAGAGGUGAAAUUCGUAGAUAUUCGGAAGAACACCAGUGGCGAAGGCGACUUACUGGACACAUAUUGACGCUGAGGCACGAAAGCGUGGGUAGCAAACAGG
RNAcentral lists this ribosomal RNA (253 nucleotides) under uncultured bacterium. Its description in RNAcentral is "partial 16S ribosomal RNA". It matches the Rfam family "Bacterial small subunit ribosomal RNA", at positions 524 to 776 of the family's 1533-position model. The record is from RNAcentral.